UUUUUUCCGGUCAUUUUUAAUAGAGGACAAGGCGCCUGGCGUCUUCUCCUACGUGGAGUUCCUUGUGCAUGUCCACAGGCAAAUCCAAAGCAAGAUGACCUGAGUCCUGAGGAUCCAGGCAAAAUCCAAAGCAAGAUGACCUGAGGGCCCAGAUCCUGGUUGUAACAUUUCGGUCAGUAGAUGGAUUGUAGGUACCAAAAGGAGUUUGAUUUCUGCAUAAGGAGACAGCAAAGUGGCGAU
This 240-nucleotide long non-coding RNA is filed under the name Sorghum bicolor (sorghum). Its description in RNAcentral is "long non-coding RNA (SBIC_LNC008872)". Lineage: Eukaryota; Viridiplantae; Streptophyta; Magnoliopsida; Poales; Poaceae. The record is from RNAcentral.